Molecule: non-coding RNA, 1017 nt
Organism: Manis javanica (Malayan pangolin)
Lineage: Eukaryota; Metazoa; Chordata; Mammalia; Pholidota; Manidae
Source: RefSeq, a predicted model, not a curated record
AUGAACAUUCAAGAAGAAAUACAAAUAGCAAUUGGAAAGAACAGAGAAAAAGAAGCUUAAAGUCACUCGUGACAAAAGGAAGGUUGUCAAACUUACAGAAAAGUUGCAGGAAUGACUCAUUUUGAAUGAACACCUGUAAACUGUUUGCUCAUAUUGUCACGAGACAGAGUUGAAUCAUCCCAUCGCCACCUCUCCAGCCCCGGGCAAGCACCGUUCCACUUUGUCUCUACGGUUUUGACUACUACACUGAGCACACAGCAAGAAGGCGGUCAUCUUCACCAGAACCGGACCACGCUGGAGCUGCUACCCUUGCCUAGGACUUCCAGCUUCUAGAGCUGCUGUCCUGCACAAGCGUUUUAGAAGGGAAUUGUUCGGAGCAAGAAAGCCUGCAGAGCUGCCAGACCUGCAUUCCUCACGUCCAAAUCCCAGCCUUCCCCCAGCGCACAGAGGCCUGCAGAUCCCAGCAAGCCUGGGAGAGGGCCCUCCUGCUGUCCCUGAGCGCAGCCUUUGGUGACCCACCGCUGACCUAGUAAGUGAAUGGCUUUCCUGAGCUCUGUGUGCCAUUCUAGCAAAAUUUGGAAUCUGAGGAGGGAGUUGUGGAACCCGCACUUUAUAACCUGUUGUUUGGAAGUACUGGGGGCCUGGACUUGGACGGGCUUUGACAUGGAGGUGGGGGCAGAGCCCUUAAUCUUUGGGGUCCACCCUGAUUCUGGGUAGGCAGUAUCAGAACUGCAAUGAAAUGUAGGCUGCUGGAGAAUCGUUGGCAUGGGCCCUCAACCCUCGCUGUGGUGCUGGGAGUUCUGGGGGGCAGGAGAAUUGGUUUCCCUGCCCCAUGGGGGGAGCCUUCCCUGGGCUCAGAUGGGAGCAGGCACGGGAUGACUGCGCUCCUGGAGGGGAGGGCUGAUUUCCCAGCAGGCCCAGUCCCAGAGCGGCUUACCGCCACCGUCCCUUUGUGACAGGUGCUGUCAAAACAAAUUACCCAAAUUCAGUGGCUUAAAACAAUGCAAGUUCAUUAUG